UGGAGAGUCUCCAUCCAGCUGGAUCACUGUCACAGAGAAACACACCACCACACCUCCACCUACAUCCACCUCUCCUCCUCUUACCAAUGUGUUAUUGUUUGUUGGAACAGUCUGUGUUGUGGUUCUACUGGUUUCUCUGGUGGUUCUGCUGGUGACACAACAUGUUUGCAGGAAACGUGAAGGAAGUGAUCCAGAUGCAGUCUACUCAACAGUGAGAAUAUAUGAAGAUGUCAGUGAUGGACAAAUAGCCAACAGACAAAGAGGCUUUAAACUAGUGCCAAACGUCAUCUACUCUGGGCUGCAGUAGUCCACAAGUCCAACUGCCGCAAUCCAGCUGCUGGUCUCUAACCGACCCUGCCAACACCUCAGACCAGAGGACAUCAUAAUGUUCGAAAGUAUAUUUUAUUCUAUACCUGUCUAAUUACAAUGAACCCAACCAAAACCUACAUAUUACUUAAAGGCACACACACACACACACACACACACACACACACACACACACACACACACAUUUAUUUAAGACUAAUACAAACAUGCAGUUAAUCAGUGUUAUUUGUGUUGUUUUCAUGUUUGCCAGAUCCUUCUCUUCUUCCCACAGUAGAGGUGUAGAGAUCAUGUUCAGUAAAAUAUUUUUUCACUAGUUUUUCUCAUGUGGUUCUGUGUGGUUUUCACCAAAGGUUCAGAUAAAAAAAAAAAAAUGAGUUGUUCUGUUUUGGUUGUGGCUAACCAAUACACUUGUCUCUUCAGAGCAAAAAAUAAAGAAUAAACCUUAAACCACAAUCACAGACUGAGAACAGCAUGGGCACUCUCGAAAACUGUGCAGAAAGCCUCAGUGCAUGAGGUAUGUGUUUGAGACUGAAAAGAUCUCAUCUUUAUGUACAAAAAUAUUCCAAGUAAACCAACCAAAGAAAACAUUUUGAGUCUUUUUUUUCUUGAUUUUCAUGAUUUGUAUGAUGGAAAAACUCUGGAGAGAAAGAAAAAGCCCAACCCAAGUUAUUUUGAACUUUGGUAAAUAAUUAAUGACAUGACGUGAAAACAGGAUAAAGACAUGUUGUGGAAAAGAGACAGAGAUUAAUCAAAUGUGUGGUUCAAUGCAGAGAAGUCUAUUAACACUGAUGAAUAUGUAUGAUUGAGAAAGGGGAAUUUUCUGACUCCCAUCUCCAGAACCAGCACAGAGUCCCUCCUAAAGCUCUCCUUAAAGCCAGAGUUGGACAUGAGCCACAUUUACAUUUUGCUGCCAUCUGCUGGUGAAACUGGUAGCACAGUAGCUGCUUUAUAAAUGGCAACAGUUUAACCUCCGUAACAUCUCCACUGCGGUCAGUAUAAAAUGCGGUGAAUACCUGGUCCUCUUUAGAAUCCCAGUUCUUCCACUUAUCCUAUCACAGUCAAUUUUACUCACUAAAAUAUGAAGCUCAGGGAGAAAAUGCAAACUCCACACAGAAAGGCCAGAUGGUAGAUUUAAAGUCAGGUCAUACUUCCUGUGAGGCAACAGUGCUAAGCACCGCACCCUCACGCUAGCCUAUAAAGAUAAUUGCAUUCGUUACCUCAGCACCAAACAUGUUAAAAGCAGCGUCAGGCUGUAAGCAGGUGAGUCUCACGGAAAAUGCUGAACACUUGUGUACAUGGUAUAUUUUUGUCUUUUAUUCGCCCCUCGAAGGUAGAGGGGCAAUCAAUUAGCAGUCUAGCAUCCACAGUUAAAGAUAUCAUGUUUAGAUUUUGUGUGAUGUAGAUAUGGAAAAUUUUAAUUCUGCUCCAAUCAUAUGGGUAAAGAUAAUAAAAUAGGCCAUUUUAGUAUGCAACAGUCAUAGGUCACAGGUCAGACAUCAGCAUAAUGUAAUAACGUCAUAAAGCUGCAUGUUUUAGUUUAAUUAUUGCUCUUCAAAGGGAGUUGUGCUCUGAGUGCUCUAUUUAUUAUUUCACAUGUACAGUUCAGAUGCUUGGUGAUUGGGUUUCAUUAUACCCCAAAAAGACAAAGUUAAUACAAACAUUUUAAAUGAGAAACAAGCUAUUUUAAGAACUAAGUGGGCCCAUAAAAGAGGGGAAAUGAACAGAAUUCUACUUAAAAAUUCUUAACAAAAUAUCAUAACUCAAAAAAAAUGACCGGCCCAAAUGACAGGCAGCUCCACUUACACAGUCAAGCAGUGUUGUUUGGCACACAAACACUGACCCCAUUAUGUGAACCUUUGAAAAUCCACUGCAACAAAAGACAUUUUUUUUAUUAGUCUGUAAUUUAUCCAGGUAAAAAAUCAUCACGAGAAGAAAGGUCAUAAAUGUGAUAGAAAACCAACAUUUUUAACUGCUGUGCAGUUGUACAAUCAACUGCACUGAGGUGCAGUUAAAAAUGUUCCAAAAUACACCAGAAGCACAUAAACAGUACAGAGGUCAAGUUUAAGUUUUGGGUGGCACAACCAACACUGGUAUCUGUCAGUGAAAGUGGUCACAUCAGGUAUCCAGAUAGAUAAAUUCUCUCUAAGAUGCUUCUGUGGGGAUGGACUCUGUUUUGGAGAAAGUCCUAAGUGGACAUCAGAUGAACUGUACUGUACAGGCUUGGGUCUAAAAGGGGUUUAUGCUUCUAUAGUAAAUCUUUGCUGUAGGUAUGUCACAGCUGUAUACCCUACAAAUAUAACUAUACGUCUGCUGUUAUUGUUAUUGCCAUAUUACCUUCUUCUUUAGUUCAGUUCAAAUAUGGUUGCCUCUGAAAAAUAAACCAAUAGAAAAAUUAUACACAACUUUUGACUCUAGAUUUCUUAUCUGUUUUCAGGAAGACUUUAUUAUGAUCCAUGAUCACGUCCCAUAUUUGUUUAUAUCUAUAGCUCCUUCCAUUAGUGUGUGGUUUUGUGUGCACCCCUGUUUGCUGUUUGUUGUUAGAUCAGAGCAAUAGUCUUUGUAAAUCAUGACCUGCAAACACUGGACCACAUUUUUGGGGUUGGUUUAAAUGCAACAAUCCAACAUUCUUAUUGUUCUUGACCAAAAAAAUAUUAAAAACCAUUUUAUCUGGUGAUACUCCCAUAUGUAAGAAAACUGCAAGGUCACCACACCAGUGCUGGGAAAGUUAACAGUCUGGAGAAUCUUCUUUCCUUAGUUCUCGUUUGCUCCACAUGUUAUUACUGUGAUGUGAUUUCAGAGUUCUAACCUCACAACUAAAAUGUGCAGUUUGCAUGAUCUGCACUCAAAUGGACUCCAGUCCACUAGUACCACAUGUGGCAAACUGCCAUAGCUUACAACCAGAUUAACUUGUAACGCAUCUGCACCUGCUCUAUCGCCACAUUUUAAUGCAUGUCAUGCACAAUACAUUUGUAACUUCCAUUCUUGUUUCUUACAAAUUAACUAUUAAAUAGUGAUUUAUUCACUCAUCUCACAUCAUUUGGAACAUGAUAUUUUAGAGAGUAAUAUUUUGCUUGUGUUAUCAUGUUCUGUUGGCAUAAACUGCUUUUGUUUUUGCUUAGGAAAUAAAUUCAAUUUAUUUAAAUGCCUCUGAAAUGAUGGGGUGGUGUAUUUUUAUGUUUCAUUUGUGUAACUAUAGUCACCUGGGCCACUGGAACACUUUGGGCAAAUAUAGAAUAGAAUAGAAUAAUCCUUUAAUUGUCCCACAAGGGGAAAUUUGGUUGUAACAGCAGCCAAAAAGACACAUAUAC
This is a long non-coding RNA of Oreochromis niloticus (Nile tilapia), 3635 nucleotides long. RefSeq lists it as uncharacterized. Lineage: Eukaryota; Metazoa; Chordata; Actinopteri; Cichliformes; Cichlidae. The record is from RefSeq and is a predicted model, not a curated record. The transcript has 4 exons.